GAUGAACGCUAGCGGCAGGCCUAAUACAUGCAAGUCGAACGGGAUCUGAGGGUAGCUUGCUACCCGAUUUGAGAGUGGCGCACGGGUGCGUAACGCGUGAGCAACCUACCCAUAUCAGGGGGAUAGCCCGAAGAAAUUCGGAUUAACACCGCAUAACAAUACGUUAACACAUGUUAAUGUAUUUAAAUAUUUAUAGGAUAUGGAUGGGCUCGCGUGACAUUAGCUAGUUGGUAAGGUAACGGCUUACCAAGGCGACGAUGUCUAGGGGCUCUGAGAGGGGAAUCCCCCACACUGGUACUGGGACACGGACCAGACUCCUACGGGAGGCAGCAGUAAGGAAUAUUGGUCAAUGGGCGCAAGCCUGAACCAGCCAUGCCGCGUGCAGGAUGACUGACCUAUGGGUUGUAAACUGCUUUUGUUAGGGAAUAAACCUACUUAUGUAUAAGUAGCUGAAUGUACCUAAAGAAUAAGGAUCGGCUAACUCCGUGCCAGCCGCCGCCGUAA
RNAcentral lists this ribosomal RNA (504 nucleotides) under uncultured bacterium. RNAcentral describes it as "partial 16S ribosomal RNA". It matches the Rfam family "Bacterial small subunit ribosomal RNA", at positions 28 to 523 of the family's 1533-position model. The record is from RNAcentral.